This 635-nucleotide ribosomal RNA is filed under the name uncultured Marinobacter sp. RNAcentral describes it as "bacterial SSU rRNA". It matches the Rfam family "Bacterial small subunit ribosomal RNA", at positions 870 to 1504 of the family's 1533-position model. Lineage: Bacteria; Pseudomonadati; Pseudomonadota; Gammaproteobacteria; Pseudomonadales; Marinobacteraceae. The record is from RNAcentral.
CGCCUGGGGAGUACGGCCGCAAGGUUAAAACUCAAAUGAAUUGACGGGGGCCCGCACAAGCGGUGGAGCAUGUGGUUUAAUUCGACGCAACGCGAAGAGCCUUACCUGGCCUUGACAUCCAGAGAACUUUCCAGAGAUGGAUUGGUGCCUUCGGGAACUCUGAGACAGGUGCUGCAUGGCCGUCGUCAGCUCGUGUCGUGAGAUGUUGGGUUAAGUCCCGUAACGAGCGCAACCCCUAUCCCUGGUUGCUAGCAGGUAAUGCUGAGAACUCCAGGGAGACUGCCGGUGACAAACCGGAGGAAGGUGGGGAUGACGUCAGGUCAUCAUGGCCCUUACGGCCAGGGCUACACACGUGCUACAAUGGCGCGUACAGAGGGCUGCCAACUCGCGGGAGUGAGCCAAUCCCUUAAAACGCGUCGUAGUCCGGACCGGAGUCUGCAACUCGACUCCGUGAAGUCGGAAUCGCUAGUAAUCGCGAAUCAGAAUGUCGCGGUGAAUACGUUCCCGGGCCUUGUACACACCGCCCGUCACACCAUGGAAGUGGAUUGCACCAGAAGUAGUUAGUCUAACCUUCGGGAGGACGAUUACCACGGUGUGGUUCAUGACUGGGGUGAAGUCGUAACAAGGUAACCGUA